RNAcentral lists this ribosomal RNA (419 nucleotides) under bacterium. RNAcentral's name for it is "partial 16S ribosomal RNA". It matches the Rfam family "Bacterial small subunit ribosomal RNA", at positions 355 to 776 of the family's 1533-position model. The record is from RNAcentral.
UGGGGGAUAUUGCACAAUGGGCGCAAGCCUGAUGCAGCGACGCCGCGUGGGGGAUGAAGGCCUUCGGGUUGUAAACUUCUUUUGCUCUGAACAAGGCGCACUUUGGGGUGUGUUGAGUGUAGGGGUUGAUUAGCGCCGGCUAACUACGUGCCAGCAGCCGCGGUAAUACGUAGGGCGCGAGCGUUGUCCGUAAUUAUUGGGCGUAAAGGGCUUGUAGGUGGCUGGUUGCGUCUGUCGUGAAAGCUCAUGGCUUAACUGUGGGUUUGCGGUGGGUACGGGCUGGCUUGAGUGCAGUAGGGGAGGCUGGAAUUCCUGGUGUAGCGGUGGAAUGCGCAGAUAUCAGGAGGAAUACCGGUGGCGAAGGCGGGUCUCUGGGCUGUUACUGACACUGAGGAGCGAAAGCAUGGGGAGCGAACAGG